Molecule: non-coding RNA, 45 nt
Filed under: Schistosoma mansoni
Lineage: Eukaryota; Metazoa; Platyhelminthes; Trematoda; Strigeidida; Schistosomatidae
Source: RNAcentral
AUCCACCUGACGAGUCCCAAAUAGGACAAAACACAUAUCCUGGAU